Molecule: ribosomal RNA, 1549 nt
Filed under: Streptococcus sp. DD12
Lineage: Bacteria; Bacillati; Bacillota; Bacilli; Lactobacillales; Streptococcaceae
Description: Bacterial small subunit ribosomal RNA
Rfam family: Bacterial small subunit ribosomal RNA
Source: Rfam by way of RNAcentral
UUAAAUGAGAGUUUGAUCCUGGCUCAGGACGAACGCUGGCGGCAUGCCUAAUACAUGCAAGUAGAACGCUGAAGGAAGGAGCUUGCUUCUUCUGGAAGAGUUGCGAACGGGUGAGUAACGCGUAGGUAACCUACCUGAUAGCGGGGGAUAACUAUUGGAAACGAUAGCUAAUACCGCAUAACAGUUUAGAACACAUGUUGUAAACUUGAAAGGUGCAAAUGCAUCACUAUCAGAUGGACCUGCGUUGUAUUAGCUAGUUGGUGAGGUAAAGGCUCACCAAGGCAACGAUACAUAGCCGACCUGAGAGGGUGAUCGGCCACACUGGGACUGAGACACGGCCCAGACUCCUACGGGAGGCAGCAGUAGGGAAUCUUCGGCAAUGGGGGCAACCCUGACCGAGCAAUGCCGCGUGAGUGAAGAAGGUUUUCGGAUCGUAAAGCUCUGUUGUAAGGGAAGAACGUUGUGUAGAGUGGAAAGUUACACAAGUGACGGUACCUUACCAGAAAGGGACGGCUAACUACGUGCCAGCAGCCGCGGUAAUACGUAGGUCCCGAGCGUUGUCCGGAUUUAUUGGGCGUAAAGGGAGCGCAGGCGGUUUAAUAAGUCUGAAGUUAAAGGCUGUGGCUCAACCAUAGUUCGCUUUGGAAACUGUUAAACUUGAGUGCAGAAGGGGAGAGUGGAAUUCCAUGUGUAGCGGUGAAAUGCGUAGAUAUAUGGAGGAACACCGGUGGCGAAAGCGGCUCUCUGGUCUGUAACUGACGCUGAGGCUCGAAAGCGUGGGGAGCAAACAGGAUUAGAUACCCUGGUAGUCCACGCCGUAAACGAUGAGUGCUAGGUGUUAGGCCCUUUCCGGGGCUUAGUGCCGCAGCUAACGCAUUAAGCACUCCGCCUGGGGAGUACGACCGCAAGGUUGAAACUCAAAGGAAUUGACGGGGGCCCGCACAAGCGGUGGAGCAUGUGGUUUAAUUCGAAGCAACGCGAAGAACCUUACCAGGUCUUGACAUCCCUCUGACCGCCCUAGAGAUAGGGUUUCCCUUCGGGGCAGAGGUGACAGGUGGUGCAUGGUUGUCGUCAGCUCGUGUCGUGAGAUGUUGGGUUAAGUCCCGCAACGAGCGCAACCCUUAUUGUUAGUUGCCAUCAUUUAGUUGGGCACUCUAGCGAGACUGCCGGUAAUAAACCGGAGGAAGGUGGGGAUGACGUCAAAUCAUCAUGCCCCUUAUGACCUGGGCUACACACGUGCUACAAUGGUUGGUACAACGAGUCGCAAGCCGGUGACGGCAAGCUAAUCUCUUAAAGCCAAUCUCAGUUCGGAUUGUAGGCUGCAACUCGCCUACAUGAAGUCGGAAUCGCUAGUAAUCGCGGAUCAGCACGCCGCGGUGAAUACGUUCCCGGGCCUUGUACACACCGCCCGUCACACCACGAGAGUUUGUAACACCCAAAGUCGGUGAGGUAACCUUUUAGGAGCCAGCCGCCUAAGGUGGGAUAGAUGAUUGGGGUGAAGUCGUAACAAGGUAGCCGUAGGAGAACCUGCGGCUGGAUCACCUCCUUU